UACGUAGGGGGCAAGCGUUGUCCGGAUUCAUUGGGCGUAAAGAGCGUGUAGGCGGCCAGGUAGGUCGGUUGUGAAAACUGGAGGCUCAACCUUCAGAGGUCGACCGAAACCAUCUGGCUAGAGUCCGGGAGAGGAGAGUGGAAUUCCUGGUGUAGCGGUGAAAUGCGCAGAUAUCAGGAAGAACACCGUGGCGAAAGCGGCUCUCUGGAACGGUACUGACGCUGAGACGCGAAAGCGUGGGGAGCGAACAGG
RNAcentral lists this ribosomal RNA (252 nucleotides) under uncultured bacterium. Its description in RNAcentral is "partial 16S ribosomal RNA". It matches the Rfam family "Bacterial small subunit ribosomal RNA", at positions 524 to 776 of the family's 1533-position model. The record is from RNAcentral.